This 238-nucleotide ribosomal RNA is filed under the name uncultured bacterium. Its description in RNAcentral is "partial 16S ribosomal RNA". It matches the Rfam family "Bacterial small subunit ribosomal RNA", at positions 29 to 257 of the family's 1533-position model. The record is from RNAcentral.
AAUGAACGCUGGCGGCGCGCCUAAUACAUGCAAGUCGAGCGAGAAGACGUAGCAAUACGUUUGUAAAGCGGCGAACGGGUGAGGAAUACAUGGGUAACCUACCCUCGAGUGGGGAAUAACUAGCCGAAAGGUUAGCUAAUACCGCGUACGCUUCUUGGACUUCGGUUCAGGGAGGAAAGCGAUGCCGAGGGUAUCGCGCUCUUGGAUGGGCUCAUGUCCUAUCAGCUUGUUGGGAGGU